Molecule: long non-coding RNA, 1150 nt
Filed under: Callithrix jacchus (white-tufted-ear marmoset)
Lineage: Eukaryota; Metazoa; Chordata; Mammalia; Primates; Cebidae
Description: lncRNA (ENSCJAG00000083280.1)
Source: RNAcentral
GGGCCACAGCGGGACGGCAGAGUUCCAGCAGGUCAGCGGCUGCGCACGCGGGCGCCGGCUCGCACACGGCGUAGGCCGCCCUCUACCGCCUGAAGGCCGGAGGCUAAGUGGGGCGCCAGCGGAUCCAGGAUCCCUGGGGGAGAGCCGCCUUCAGAGAAUGCCGUGCUCCCUACAGCGCCAGGGACUGACCGGCCUGUGCCAGCUUAGUCGGCGGCCCUAGGAGGCACCCGCACUAGGGCUUUUGAAGCUGGCUCCUUGCUACUUUUCGGGGUGGACGCUGCUGCUGCUCAGCCCCUGCAGCCCGCGUUUGGCCGCUCGGCUACAGCUUCCAGCUCGAUCCUACAAUGACAUAUGUCCCCCCAGGCGAUUCAGCGAAGCCCUACUUUAUCUUGUGAGAGCUGUGUUUCCACAUUCGCUCGAAAAGAAAGACCGCCCACGAGGGCCUGAGUUCGAUGCCCGGCCUCUCCCGACCCGCGGCUGCGACAGCCCCUCUGAGGCGGAAGUUUAUUUAGUAUGGCAAAGAGAACAGCACGGGGUUAAAUUCUGAGAGAGAAGAAAUUCCCAAAAGUUCUAAACAUCACUGGCCACCAGAAAAUAUCUGUGUCAAAAGCGUUUUUCCACAAGCUACAACCUACCACCCUGUUCCUGGGCUCUCUCGUUCUCUUCUCCCAACUGCUUGCCUCUGCUGCUCAUCACUCCCAGUUUGUGAUACUUAAGCUGCCAUAUAAGACAUGCCUUUCACCUUCUGCCGAUUGUGAGGCCUCCCUAGCCACAUGGAACCAUGAGUUCAUUAAGCCUUUUUCUUAUAAAUUAUCCAGUCUCAGCUCAACAACAACUUUUCUGCAAAGCUCUUGAUCCUUCCACAUCUGGCAUGAAAAUAUUCCAAGUUAUCUGUGUUGGCAGAUGGAGCUGUGCUGAACGGAAGCUUUAUCCUGGAUUCGGUCUUCUGUCCCAGCACGAGCACCUGACUCAACUUUGGAAGUGUGGAGAAGGUUAUGGAACUUCAUCCUGCCCUAGUUCACCUCCCCCCACUUCCAGUCCUACCCUCUUAUACUUCUUCUUGGUCCAAAUGGAUUAUCCCCUAAUUUUUCCCCUUAAAGAUAUCAAUAGAACAUUGAUUAUCCAUACUGUAUGCUCAUUAUUGUCCUGA